AGAGUUUGAUCCUGGCUCAGAUUGAACGUUGGCGGCAUGCUUUACACAUGCAAGUCGAACGGUAACAGGCCGCAAGGUGCUGACGAGUGGCGAACGGGUGAGUAAUGUAUCGGAACGUGCCCAGUCGUGGGGGAUAACGCAGCGAAAGCUGCGCUAAUACCGCAUACGAUCUAUGGAUGAAAGCGGGGGACCGUAAGGCCUCGCGCGAUUGGAGCGGCCGAUAUCAGAUUAGGUAGUUGGUGGGGUAAAGGCUCACCAAGCCAACGAUCUGUAGCUGGUCUGAGAGGACGACCAGCCACACUGGGACUGAGACACGGCCCAGACUCCUACGGGAGGCAGCAGUGGGGAAUUUUGGACAAUGGGCGCAAGCCUGAUCCAGCAAUGCCGCGUGCAGGAAGAAGGCCUUCGGGUUGUAAACUGCUUUUGUACGGAACGAAACGGUCCUGGUUAAUACCUGGGGCUAAUGACGGUACCGUAAGAAUA
RNAcentral lists this ribosomal RNA (483 nucleotides) under uncultured Hydrogenophaga sp. Its description in RNAcentral is "bacterial SSU rRNA". It matches the Rfam family "Bacterial small subunit ribosomal RNA", at positions 8 to 488 of the family's 1533-position model. The record is from RNAcentral. Lineage: Bacteria; Pseudomonadati; Pseudomonadota; Betaproteobacteria; Burkholderiales; Comamonadaceae.